UACGUAGGUGGCAAGCGUUGUCCGGAAUUAUUGGGCGUAAAGCGCGCGCAGGCGGUCCUUUAAGUCUGAUGUGAAAGCCCACGGCUCAACCGUGGAGGGUCAUUGGAAACGUGGGGACUUGAGUGCAGAAGAGGAAAGUGGAAUUCCACGUGUAGCGGUGAAAUGCGUAGAGAUGUGGAGGAACACCAGUGGCGAAGGCGACUUUCUGGGCUGUAACUGACGCUGAGGCGCGAAAGCGUGGGGAGCAAACAGG
This 253-nucleotide ribosomal RNA is filed under the name uncultured bacterium. RNAcentral's name for it is "partial 16S ribosomal RNA". It matches the Rfam family "Bacterial small subunit ribosomal RNA", at positions 524 to 776 of the family's 1533-position model. The record is from RNAcentral.